This 468-nucleotide ribosomal RNA is filed under the name uncultured bacterium. Its description in RNAcentral is "partial 16S ribosomal RNA". It matches the Rfam family "Bacterial small subunit ribosomal RNA", at positions 28 to 507 of the family's 1533-position model. The record is from RNAcentral.
GACGAACGCUGGCGGCGUGCUUAACACAUGCAAGUCGAACGGAAAGGCCCUGCUUUUGUGGGGUGCUCGAGUGGCGAACGGGUGAGUAACACGUGAGUAACCUGCCCUUGACUUUGGGAUAACUUCAGGAAACUGGGGCUAAUACCGGAUAGGAUCUCCUGCUGCAUGGUGGGGGUUGGAAAGUUUCGGCGGUUGGGGAUGGACUCGCGGCUUAUCAGCUUGUUGGUGGGGUAGUGGCUUACCAAGGCUUUGACGGGUAGCCGGCCUGAGAGGGUGACCGACCACAUUGGGACUGAGAGACGGACCAGACUCCUACGGGAGGCAGUAGGGGGGAAUAUUGCACAAUGGGCGGAAGCCUGAUGCAGAAACGCCGCGUGCGGGAUGCCGGCCUUCGGGUUGUAAACCGCUUUCGCCUGUGACGAAGCGUGAGUGACGGUAAUGGGUAAAGAAGCACCGGCUAACUACGUG